Molecule: long non-coding RNA, 2616 nt
Filed under: Sus scrofa (pig)
Lineage: Eukaryota; Metazoa; Chordata; Mammalia; Artiodactyla; Suidae
Description: lncRNA (ENSSSCG00050074808.1)
Source: RNAcentral
GCCAUUUUGUUAAUUAUUUUUUUGAUUGUUUCUGUAGUUCUUAUUAUCCAUGUUCCUCUUUUUUUGCUCUUUCCCCUUGUGAUUUAAUGACUAUCUUUAGUGUUAUGUUUAGAUUUCUUUCUCUCUCUCUCUCUCUCUCUCUUUCUCUUUUUUGGCUGCACCAAUGGCACACCGAAGUUUCCAGGCUAGGAAAUGAACCCAUACAAUAGUCAUGGCCUAUGUGACAGUACCAGAUCCUUAAUCUCUGGGACAAUGCCAGAUUCUUAACCCACUGAGCCACCAGGAAACUCUUCCCUUUCUCUUUUUUUGUGUGUAUAUUUUGUCUUUUAACCUUCUAUUAACUUUAUACAUGGUUGAUUUACUGCAUUUAGUGUAUGAGAUUUACCGUAUGUCAUUACUGAUGAGAGUUUUAGUUUCAUACUUUUAAUAUUUAUAGUGGUAGCCUUUUAUUUUCUGCUCAGAGAAGUCCUUUUAACUGGUCUUGUAAAGGAAUACAGUAAAUCUGAAGUAUAUUAGUUUUUGCUUGUGUGUAAAGACUUUGAUCUCUCAAUCACAUCUGAAUGAGGAGAGUUCCUGUUGUGGCUCAGUAGGUUACAAACCUGACAUAGUGUCCAGGAGGAUAUGGGUUCAAUUCCUGGCCUUUCUCAGUGGGUUAAUGGUCAGAUGUUUCCACAAAUUGCAGUGUAGGUUGCAGAUGUGGCUUGGAUCUGAUGUUGCCAUGUCUGUGCUGUAAGUCCCAGCUGUAGUUCUUAUUCAGUCCCUAGGCUGGAAACUUCCAUAUGCCACAGGUGCAGCUAUAAAAAGAAAAAAAAGAAAUCUGGAUGAGAACUUUCUCAGGUAGAAUAUACUUAGUUGGAAGUUCUUCCUUUUCUUCAGUUUAAAUAUAUUGUACUAGUUCCUUCUACAGAGUUUCUGCUAAAAAUGUCAGCUGGUAGCCAAAUAGGUGUUCGCUUGGAGGGGGAAAAAAAAAAAAACUUGCUACUUUUCACUUGGGGUUCCUGUGGUUGGUGUCAACUUGAUGGUAGAGUGCUGUCACAAAUGAUACAUAUAAAGGGAUUUAAAAAUGUAUCUCAUGACUUUCUAGCUGUUCAAAACAACUCUGUUUUCUCAGUACCAUUCUUCCUGCCCUGGCACUCAUUUCUCCUCCUUUAUUUGUGGAUAGCCAGCAGUAGAAGGAGCAGGGGAAGUGCUUGUGGUAGCAACUUUGCUCACUGUAUUAAUGACCUACCUAUUUAUUAGCUUCCUGAGCAUGGACACAUUACUUGAUUUUUCAAAAUUUCUAUUUUUCUUAGAUAAAAUAGGUAUAAUAACAAUGCCCACCUUGUAGGAUUUUUGUGAUGAUUAAUUUAGAUACUAUUGUGCUAAGCAUAUGUUAUUGGCAAGUGCUUAAUACAUAUUAGCAAUUAUUAUUAUUCUAUCAUGAUAUCAGCAUCCAAUAGACAACUGAACCUGAAGGCAAAACAUGGAGCAGAAAAAACCCUAGAAGUAUAUUUGAAGCUGAGCAAGAUAAGAACACUGACAGAAAACUACUUUCCCUCCACAUUUCUUGCCAAUCUUGAUGCUGAAAUGCCUACAAAUCUUGCCUUAUGAAUAAAAUUUCACUUAUCCAUAAUUCAUAAUCAAGAUGUAACCAUUAAAAAAAAUAGAAGAUAGAAAGUCAUCUUUUUAGCUGUCUUUCAACACACAGACAGACAAUAAGCAAGGUACAGAGAGAGAGUAAAGUGAAUCUUCCACUUAUAUACCAAGAUUAUACAGACAUUACUGCCAGCAAAUCAAAGGGAUGGCAGCUUCCCUUUCCUUCAGCCUAGUACACUUACCCAUUAUAGCCUACCAUGUGAGCAGCAAGAUUAGAAUUAAGUUCCAAUUUCAAAAGGGAGGAGGACAGUCAUAUUUCAAAAGGGAAAAUAUAUUUUUCAUAUAAAUGGUAAUUGUGUUAGCCGAAAGUAUAUUAUGUAAAUUGUACAAACUACCUGUAGAGAAGUAUGUCAUUACCUGAUGGGAAUAAAUACAGGUACUGUGUGGUACAAGUAUCAUUUGGAAAACCCAACCUAAGGCUCAUAGACCUAACUUCCAAGGUAAGUUUGUUCCUGGUUGAGAUUCUUCUCUGUCAGGAGGCAAUAUGGUUAGGUCACAUAUCCCUUUCCAUUUCUUCCAGGAGUUCAAGUAUAGGCUAAUGCAGCCCUUGGAUCUGUAUUAGGGUAAUAAAGAAUCACUGUCUAUGAUGGCACCUUUGUGUCAUAGUAGCAGUCGCAUCGUGGUGUAUUUAUACAUCUCCCUCCCCAGACUUGCUCUCUCCUCAUAUACAGGAAUAGAAACAAUAUGAGGCAGGCUCACAAUAGCACAUCAGCAAGUCUUAGCCAGAAUAAAUGGAAAGAAAAUUUUACAUAUGUAUAAUAGAACUUUUAGGUGUCAUGGCUGAGCUUUUGAAAGUAAGUGGGAGGGUGUAGAUGGAAAGAGGAAUAAAACCCACUGCCUAUCCUGCCACUCAACAGUAUUUACCCAAAGAGCCCUAUACCUACACUGUACCUACACUUUAUUGGUGCUAGGAUUGAGCACCAAUCCAUUGAUUAACAACAAUUGAUUUAUUGUGCUCUACUUGCAAAAUAAUGGGAAUAG